RNAcentral lists this long non-coding RNA (2916 nucleotides) under Sus scrofa (pig). RNAcentral's name for it is "lncRNA (ENSSSCG00055007247.1)". Lineage: Eukaryota; Metazoa; Chordata; Mammalia; Artiodactyla; Suidae. The record is from RNAcentral.
GGUUGGUUCCUGUGGCGGUAGGUAGGCUGGGAGAGAGGAACUUGUGGGAGCUGGUUUACAGUGUUCUGUCAAUUUUCUACUGUACAGCAAGGUGACCCAAUUGCACAUACAGGAGAAAAACAUCUAAAAUCUGUGAACUCAGAAGUAUCCUGAUGAAGAGCAUGGGCUCUGGAAUCACUCUGCCUUUGGCUUGAAUCCAGACCCUUCACAUGGAAUCACCUCAGGAAAACUCGCCCCACACCAGUUGCUUUGAGAAGUUCAUCUGAAGGAUGAAAGCAGCACACACAGUCACUGCAGAAGAGUAGGUCAAAGAAGAAAUGUGGGCAGGCUUUCGUAGGUGAGAGAAUCUAGCUCCUGACUGUGAAGAGACUAGAAAACCAAGGCACAGAGAGACUGAGUAACCUGCAAAAGAUAUGAAGCCACUAAAUGGGAGAGCCUGGAUCUGACUCAAGUGAGUCUGGUUCUGGAGAGUCCAUGCUCUGCACUGCCUCCUGUGUGUUUUCUUCCAUUGUCUCUUAGUACUCCAUAGUCUCUUGUUAAAGAGUUAGCCUAUCCCAGGGAGACUUUAAAACGGUUGUUUUGGGCUAAAGCACUAGAAAAGGUGUUAUCUGGGUUUGAGGGUAAGGUGUGGAGCAUGACCAGGGGAGGGCAGAACGGUCAUCAUCUGCACUAGCUAAUCUAAGGGAAAAGCAAAACCAACAGAGGAGAACAGCUGGUCAGUGUCCCUCCCUGGACAAAAGUUCUCCUUCCAGGGCUCACUGAUUCUACCCAUCUAAGGAAGAAAGCAGCUGCUCAUAGCCCUCUCCUCUCCUUGCCCUCCUCAGGCUUCCAGCUACCCCCUCUUGCUGAAUACUAUUCUUUUUUUCAUCCCUGUGCCACUGUUCUAGCUUUUCUUCUAAUAUUCUGACCACCCUUUUGGUGGUUUAUUUCAUUUCAUGUUAUUUUGUCUUUUUAAGGCCACACCAGUGGCACAUGGAGGUUCCCAGACUAGGGGUCAAAUUGGUCGAAUUAGCCUCCAGCCUACGCCACAGCCAUAGCCACACCAGAUUCAAGCCGCAUCCACAACCUAUGCUGCAGCUUGUGGUAAUGCCCUGGAUCCUUUAACCCACUAAGCAAGGGCAGGAAUUGAACCUGUAUCCUCAUGGAUACUAGUCAUGUUCUUAACCCACUAAACCACAACUGGAACUCUGGUGGGUUUAUUUAUUUAUUUAUUAGGGUCUAAUUGGAGCUGUAGCUGCCAGCCUACUCCAGAGCCAAAGCAAUGCCAGAUCUGAUCCGCAUCUGCGACCUACAGCACAGCUCGCGGCAAUGCCGGAUCCUUAACCCACUGAGCAAGGCCAGGGAUUGAACCCAAAACCUCAUGGUUCCUAGUCGGAUUCGUUUCUGCUAUGCUAUGAUGGGAACUCCCUGGUGCGUUUAUUUUUAAUUGAGCUUCUUCUACUUGCUACCUUAUAACUGGGUUGUAUCCUGUGUAGCUUCAGUCCUUGGUCUGCAUUGUCUCCUGAUGCUGAGAACUCAUGGGUUUAACUAUCGCUAUGAGGCAAUGUUCUCCAAAUCUAGAGCCUCUUCAGAGUGGCUGAUCCCAUCUCCAGCAAUGGGUGAGGUAUAUUUUUACUCACGUAUCAUUUUACCUCAAAUUUUAGAAAUCCAAAAUGAAGUGAAUUGUCUAUACAUCCUCUUCUGUCACUGUCAGGCAUGGAGGGAUAACCUGGAGUGGACUGGCCUUAUCUCCUCUUGCCUCCAGCCAUGCUGUUGUUCAGCAUGUCUCAUCAUGCCUUCACCUAGCAAGAUUUCAUUUUCUUACUCCCUGCUAUAGAUGGAAUGUUUGCAUCUCUCCAAAAUUGAUAUGUUGAAACCUAAUCCCCAAUGUGACAAUGUGAUGGUAUUUGGAAGUGAGUCCUCAAAAGGGCAAUCAGGGCCUUAGGGUGGAGCCCUUAUGAAUGCGAUUAGUGCCCUUAGAAAAGAGACCUCAGAGAGUUCCCUUGAGCUUUUCACUGUAAGAGUGCACAGUGAAAAGACAGUUGCCUGCAUAUGGAUGGUCUUGAAAAGCCCAACAUCACUAAUUAUUAGAAAAAUACAAAUGAAAACUACAAUGAGGUACCACCUCACACUGGUCAGAAUGGCUAUGAGGUACCACCUCACACUGGUCAGAAUGGCUAUCAUUAAUAAGUCUGCAAAAAACACAUGCUGGAGAGGGUGAGGAGAAAAGGGAACUGGUGGUAGGAAUGUAAAUUGGUAUAACCACUAUGGAAAACAGUAUGAAAUUUCCUCAGAAAACUGAAAAUAGAACUACCAUAUGAUCCAGCAAUCCCACUCCUGAGCAUACAUCUGGACAAAACUAUAAUUCAAAGAGAUACAUGCACCACUAUGUUCACUGAAGCAGUAUUUGCAAUAAUCAAGUCAUGGAAACAGACAUCUAUCAACAGAUGAAUGGAUUAAGAAAAUGUGCAUAUACACAGUAGAUAUUACUUAGCCAUAAAAAAGAACAAAAUAAUGCCAUUUGCAGUUAACGUGGGUGCAACUAGAGAUUAUCAUGCUAAGUGAAGUAAGUCAAACAGAAAGACAAAUACCAUAUUGAUAUCACUUAUAUGUGGACUCUAAAAUGUGGCACAAAAUGUCCUAUCUACAUCAAAAACAGACUCACAGACAUAGAGAACAAACUUGUGGUUGCCAAGGGGAGAGCGGGUAGAGGAGGGAUAGACUAGGAGUUUGGGAUGAGUAGAUGCAAACUAUUAUAUUCAGAAUGGAUAAACAAUAAGGUCCUACUGUGCAGCCCAGGGAGCUAUAUCCAAUGUCCUGGGAUAGACCAUGAUGGAAAGUAAUAUAAAAGAAAGAAUGUAUAUAACUGAGUCACUGCUAUACAGCAGAAAUUGGCACAACAUUGUAAAUCAACUAUAAUAAAAAAAAAAAAAAAAA